GUCCUUUUGAUUUUUAUAUAAGGUCUGACCUGCCCUAUGAAUAUUUAAAUGGCCGCGGUAUACUAACCGUGCAAAGGUAGCAUAGUCAUUUGUCUCUUAAUUGGAGGCUUGAAUGAAGGGUUGGACGAGAUAUAAGCUUUCUUUGUUAUAUUUUAUUGAAUUUGACUUUUGAGUUAAAAGGCUUAAAUUUUUUUAUAGGACGAGAAGACCCUAUAGAAUUUUAUAUAUUUGUAUAAUCAAUUUAUUUAUUUAUUAUUUAAUUUUUUGUUUAAAUAUAUUUUGUUGGGGCGAUGGGAAGAUUUUAAUAACUCUUUUUUGUUCUAAUCAUUGAUUUAUGUUUUAUUCUGAUCCUUUUUUAGAGAUUAUAAGAUUAAAUUACCUUAGGGAUAACAGCGUAAUUCUUUUGGAGAGUUCUUAUCGAUAAAAGAGUUUGCGA
Molecule: ribosomal RNA, 436 nt
Filed under: Appasus japonicus
Lineage: Eukaryota; Metazoa; Arthropoda; Insecta; Hemiptera; Belostomatidae
Description: partial 16S rRNA
Rfam family: Bacterial large subunit ribosomal RNA
Source: RNAcentral